Molecule: ribosomal RNA, 254 nt
Filed under: uncultured bacterium
Lineage: Bacteria
Description: partial 16S ribosomal RNA
Rfam family: Bacterial small subunit ribosomal RNA
Source: RNAcentral
GACGAACCGUCCAAACGUUAUUCGGAAUCACUGGGCUUAAGGGGCGCGUAGGCGGCCGAGCGGGUCACGGGUGAAAUCCUCCAGCUUAACUGGAGAACUGCCCUUGAUACCACUGCGGCUCGAGGAAGGAAGGGGCAAUCGGAACUGUCGGUGGAGCGGUGAAAUGCGUUGAUAUCGACAGGAACGCCGGUGGCGAAAGCGGAUUGCUGGUCCUUUUCUGACGCUGAGGCGCGAAAGCCAGGGGAGCAAACGGG